CCGGGCGGCGUGCUAUAAUGCAAGUCGAGCGCGGGAAGCGAGUGGAUCCCUUCGGGGUGAAGCUCGUGGAACGAGCGGCGGACGGGUGAGUAACACGUGGGCAACCUGCCUGUAAGAUCGGAAUAACCCCGGGAAACCGGGGCUAAUGCCGGGUAAUACUUUCUUUCGCAUGAAGGAAAGUUGAAAGAUGGCUUCUCGCUAUCACUUACAGAUGGGCCCGCGGCGCAUUAGCUAGUUGGUGAGGUAACGGCUCACCAAGGCGACGAUGCGUAGCCGACCUGAGAGGGUGAUCGGCCACACUGGGACUGAGACACGGCCCAGACUCCUACGGGAGGCAGCAGUAGGGAAUCUUCCGCAAUGGACGAAAGUCUGACGGAGCAACGCCGCGUGAACGAUGAAGGUCUUCGGAUCGUAAAGUUCUGUUGUUAGGGAAGAACAAGUACCGUGCGAAUAGAGCGGUACCUUGACGGUACCUAACGAGGAAGCCCCGGCUAACUACGUGCCAGCAGCCGCGGUAAUACGUAGGGGGCAAGCGUUGUCCGGAAUUAUUGGGCGUAAAGCGCGCGCAGGCGGUUCCUUAAGUCUGAUGUGAAAGCCCACGGCUCAACCGUGGAGGGUCAUUGGAAACUGGGGAACUUGAGGACAGAAGAGGAGAGUGGAAUUCCACGUGUAGCGGUGAAAUGCGUAGAUAUGUGGAGGAACACCAGUGGCGAAGGCGACUCUCUGGUCUGUUUCUGACGCUGAGGUGCGAAAGCGUGGGUAGCAAACAGGAUUAGAUACCCUGGUAGUCCACGCCGUAA
RNAcentral lists this ribosomal RNA (800 nucleotides) under Halobacillus sp. JSM 102073. RNAcentral describes it as "bacterial SSU rRNA". It matches the Rfam family "Bacterial small subunit ribosomal RNA", at positions 36 to 805 of the family's 1533-position model. The record is from RNAcentral. Lineage: Bacteria; Bacillati; Bacillota; Bacilli; Caryophanales; Bacillaceae.